Oryza sativa Japonica Group (Japanese rice) is the source of this 2368-nucleotide non-coding RNA. The record is from RefSeq and is a predicted model, not a curated record. NCBI's taxonomy places the organism in Eukaryota, Viridiplantae, Streptophyta, Magnoliopsida, Poales, Poaceae.
UACCUCUUCAAUCUUCUAGGAAACAUCCACAAGGGACCACUUGACAGGAACUAGAGCUAUUUUUGGUGAAGUAGAAGAGAUUACACCGCCCUAGAUUGAGCCAACCUUUUAAAAUCGUGUUAGAGCCAAAUGUUGACACCUAGCUCUCACCAUGCCACCUCAACUUUCACCAUUAAACAAGAAAACUCGCCACUGUAAUCUCCAUCUCUCCCUCACCGUGUUCCCCUAGGAAAAUCCACAAGAACUUCCUCGGAGGAGCCGAGAACUUCGCCCUUUUCUCUCGAACCGAAGAUGUUUGAUUCGUAGAAAUUUUUUUCUGAUCGAGCACCUUGUGCCAAGCUCGACGUCGCUCUCGGUGUCCAGAGCGCCCGCUGACCGAGCCCUCGCGCCACGAGCGUCGCCAAGGUACUAGUAGGCUACCCACCAAGGGAAUCAAGCUGGGGAGCUCCCAAUCGCGAGAUCGAACCUUUCUUCCUCAAGUCCGGCCGCCGGCUAUCGUCGUCAAUUCAUCGUUCUCGGCCGGAAGACCGGAGGAAGCCGACGUCGUCGCACUGCUGUUUUCCGCCGCCGCCGGAGCGUUCCUCGGUUCUCCAUCGCUGUCCAAGCUUCGCCGGAGCACACACGACCUCAAAUUAUUGCAUUGACAGUGAAGGAGUGAAUUAAAAUGCUAUCUAAUUUCUCAAGAUUAAGGCAAGUUCUCCUCCCAUCCUUUGAUCACAUUGAAUCCCAUGAUUUGAGGAAUGAAAAUAUUUGUUUGCAAAGUUGCAUAUGAACUUAGACUAUAUCGGUAUUUUAAAACUUGGUUAUGGUAGUUAUGUCCUAUUUGCUGCAUAUUCCUCCUUGAAUAAUUGUGAUCCUUAUUGUUUGUACCCCUAGAAAUGGUUAGAGUACACUCAUUGUGCUCAAAUGGGUGUAUAUAUGCUCUAUAUGCAACUACUUACUUAGCCAUGCUUAGAAUUAUGCAAAGUACUUAUUUCAUCUAUUAUUAAAAUGUGAUUUUGAUAUAUGAACACUUGUUGGAAUAAAAUGAAUAUGUUGGAUAUUUGCGAACUAAAAUGUGUAAAAUGUGUAAAAUGUGGUUUUAGAUCCGGGCGGCAAGAGGUAUGCAUAUGGUAUUAAUUGCAUACCGAUAGGGGGAGUGUUUGCCCAAGUCCAUAAGGACCGAAGUUGUGUCACCAACUUAAAAUUAACCGUACAUCCACAUGUGCUAGUAUGGGAUGGCCUUAGCUCAUUAAGUUGUUUAUUAUUUAUCCUUGCAUUAGGGAGGCCGUUGUAGUAGCGAUCGUACCUACUAGUGAACUGUAGGGCUAUUUGUGUUUAUGUAAAUUGCAAAGGGGACGAUUGUACCGAUCCGCCUUUUAUGUGUAUGAUGUUUAUGAGGGGAUGACUGUAACGUUCCGCCUCACUUUUAUUUAUGGUUUGAUAGGGAACGACUGUGUUGUUCCGCGUGAGGGGACGACUGAAAUGUUCCGCCUCACGUACAACGUUGAGUGCCACAUAGGAAGCGAUUGUACCGGCUUGUCUAUGGUGUUAUAUUGGUAAAGAUCUCCCCACUAUAAUAACAUUAAGAUUCUAGACUUAGUGUGGAACAACACUCAUCGUGCUCAUGCAAGGAUUAGAUAAUAAAUAAUGUAAAGGCUUCGUUAUGAUCUCUAGACCACAUUCACCAUGAAGAGUGUGCUAGUGCGUCGCGAGCACGAAACAAACUAGAGUGUUCAUAUCAUGUGGGUAAAGCUGUACAAACUCUGUAGAGUCUAAAAACUAAUCGAUUAGCCGUGCUCAUGGUCAUGAGCGCUUGGUGAAGUGUCAUGAGUAUAGACUUAUGUUUUAAAAUGUGUUAUGAAACUUGGGUUUGGAAUGGGUGAAAAGUGUUGAGUUGUGUAAGUGUGAUGAUAAUUAUAUGACUUGUCGUCAAGGAAGACAACAAGAGUAUGCUUAUGAUGAUAUAAUGAUAUUUAUGAUGAACUUAAAAAAUGUUUUGUUAACUGAAUCAUCAACUUCUUUACAAAAGUAUUGUGAAACAAAACUUGCUUUAUGCUGAAAUUGAACUACAUAUUGCCCUCCUUUGAAUAUAUGCCUUACAUGUAGUAUGUUAUGAUUGUCUUGUGCUUGCUGCUUGCCAGUAUAUUAAUUUGAUUAAUGUACUGAUUCUUGCUGUUGAGUUAACCUUUUGCUUGCAGGUUUUAGAGUUAGUCUUUGAGUGAUGCGGGUUUCGAUUGCUUCUUCUAGGAUGAGAACUUAAUGGAUGAACCCUUAGUCGAUGUGCUUGUGUUUGGUAGUCAAGCUUCCGUUGUUCCCUAAUAUGUCUACUUGGCCGGUCGGCCUAUGUAUCUAUUAAGUAGUUGUAACCUGAAUUUUAUUUGCUUUA